This 433-nucleotide ribosomal RNA is filed under the name uncultured bacterium. Its description in RNAcentral is "partial 16S ribosomal RNA". It matches the Rfam family "Bacterial small subunit ribosomal RNA", at positions 29 to 507 of the family's 1533-position model. The record is from RNAcentral.
AACGAACGCUGGCAGCAUGCCUAACACAUGCAAGUCGAACGAGACCUUCGGGUCUAGUGGCGCACGGGUGCGUAACGCGUGGGAACCUGCCCUUAGGUUCGGAAUAACUCCCCGAAAGGGGUGCUAAUACCGGAUAAUGUCUUCGGACCAAAGAUUUAUCGCCUUGGGAUGGGCCCGCGUUGGAUUAGCUAGUUGGUAGGGUAAAAGCCUACCAAGGCGCCGAUCCAUAGCUUGUCUGAGAGGAUGAUCAGCCACACUGGGACUGAGACACGGCCCAGACUCCUACGGGAGGGAGCAGUGGGGAAUAUUGGACAAUGGGCGAGAGCCUGAUCCAGCAAUGCCGCGUGAGUGAUGAAGGCCUUAGGGUUGUAAAGCUCUUUUACCCGGGAUGAUAAUGACAGUACCGGGAGAAUAAGCUCCGGCUAACUCCGUG